RNAcentral lists this long non-coding RNA (261 nucleotides) under Hordeum vulgare. RNAcentral's name for it is "long non-coding RNA (HVUL_LNC014422)". The record is from RNAcentral. Lineage: Eukaryota; Viridiplantae; Streptophyta; Magnoliopsida; Poales; Poaceae.
UGCUAGAUUAUUGAUAAACUCUAUGGUUCUGUCAACUUCUAGAUCAAGAAUAUCAUUGAUGGACUUAGCUAUAUUAUUACUAGAUGUACCCAUAGAGAUUCCUAAUUCACUAGCAUUAGUCAAGAUUUCAGAAUCAGAAAAUUUUAAAAUAGAUGCAGUCUGAUCAAUAGACAAACCUGAAGUUUUUUCAGCAUCUCGAAUUUUUGCAGCUCGCAUGGCACGACCUAUCGACAUAUCAUCAGCAUCAGGCUUCUCCUGAAU